This 1118-nucleotide long non-coding RNA is filed under the name Neogale vison (American mink). RNAcentral's name for it is "Neovison vison (American mink) lncRNA (ENSNVIG00000022661.1)". Lineage: Eukaryota; Metazoa; Chordata; Mammalia; Carnivora; Mustelidae. The record is from RNAcentral.
CCCGGAGCUCGGCCUUCUCCGAGAGCGGGGCCGCGUGCCGACCGAGACCCCCGGCCAGAGCGCGGGCCGCGCGAGGGCCCUCCUCUCCCGCGCUCCUGGAACAGGGUUGAGGAGGAAACCGGGCGACGGCGGCGCCCUCUCCCUCUGUGGCGUCAUUUCAGGCCAGAGAGAAGAAUUCCUUGCUAUCAAGUUCUCAUCAACAAGUCAAAUGGAAUUAGGAUAUCCUCGACCUACAUUCCUGAGGACAUAACAAUAAUUAUGGGAUAUGAAGUACAGCAUCUUAAAGUUAAAAACUAUUUUUCCAGGUCUUAUUAAUUUUUGUUGAACUAAAAUUAACUGUCAAGUAAGAACACUGAUACUUAAAGGUAAAUUGCUACUAUAAAAAAAAUGUAACCUUUGCCAUGUAAUGGAAUAGAAUCCUAAAUUUUAUCAGUAAUAUUAAGAAUAUUUACUUAAUAGUAUUUCCUUUUACAAAGGUGCUUGGAGUAUAGUGGAUCUGUUUCAGAUAUCCUAAUGGGAUUUUUUUUUUUUUUUUUCAGAAAACAGCAAUUAUAAUUUGCUGCUUUCUGAAAAGAUUUUUUAAAAUGGGGGGGUUCACAAGAAAGAAAUUUUGUCAGGGUUAGGUUUGGAAGAGGCUUAUUCUAGCAGCCUUUGUGGUACAUGUCCCCUGAGUCAUUGUGAGACUGAAUUAUAUGCCAUGUGUCAAAAAUUAAACUGCCACCAAUUGACAACUAAAUUUGAUACCCUUCAUCUUGAGAAGUUGGGAUGUUAUACAUAAUCCAGGCCAGUCCUUGAAGGAUUUUUUUUCUCUUAGCCACUUUACAGAAUUGCAGGACUGCCCAAUUUAUAGGCUUUUUUUUUUUUUUUGGAAGCACCAUCUUUAAAAAAUUCCUGUAAAUUCUAAAAAGUGUUUGGUAACUUAACAUUUAUUUUUAGGUAUUUCAUGCUAAGCUGAAAACUCUCUUUACCAAAUAUGAUGAAACCAAAAUAUAAUGAAGCUACAGCUAAGAAAAAUCUACCCAUACAAUGAAAUUUUUAUUGAGUAUAAAUAUUUGUUUCCUUGGUGUUCAGCCCCAAUAUACUUUUCUACCCAACUGGAUAAAUCAAAGCUAAAAUAU